GGACGCUUCCUUCGGGAAGCGAGCGUACACAGGUGCUGCAUGGCUGUCGUCAGCUCGUGUCGUGAGAUGUUGGGUUAACGUCCCGUAACGAGCGCAACCCUUGUCCUUAGUUACCAGCACGUUAUGGUGGGCACUCUAAGGAGACUGCCGGUGACAAACCGGAGGAAGGUGGGGAUGACGUCAAAUCAUCAUGCCCCUUAUGAUCUGGGCUACACACGUGCUACAAUGGCCGGUACAACGGGCAGCGAAGGAGCGAUCCGGAGCGAAUCCUAAAAAGCCGGUCCCAGUUCGGAUUGCAGGCUGAAACUCGCCUACAUGAAGUUGGAGUUGCUAGUAAUCGCGAAUCAGAAUGUCGCGGUGAAUGCGUUCCCGGGUCUU
This 378-nucleotide ribosomal RNA is filed under the name uncultured Fusibacter sp. RNAcentral describes it as "bacterial SSU rRNA". It matches the Rfam family "Bacterial small subunit ribosomal RNA", at positions 1009 to 1382 of the family's 1533-position model. Lineage: Bacteria; Bacillati; Bacillota; Clostridia; Eubacteriales; Fusibacteraceae. The record is from RNAcentral.